UUGGCAAGCGGGGGCAGUGCCCCCAAAUGUGGCCCCCUCCUGACUCACCAGUGCCUGAGAUAACUUUAGCAAAAGCUUUAUUUUCACAAUAGAAGAUAAACCUUGAGAUACAAAUACCUCUAGGAGAGAGGAGUAAAUGGCUGAUGCAAACAUUUAUUUUGAUUAUGAUAGAAAGGAAAAGGUAUCUGUCUUAGUCCUUUUGGGCUGCUAUAACAAAAUGCCAUAAACCAGGUGGCCCAUAAAUAACAGAAAUUUAUUUCUCACAGCUCCUAAGGAUGGAAAGUCCAAGUUCAAGGUGCUGGCAGAUUCAGUGUCUGGAGAAGACCCAUUCCUCACAGAGGCUCAUCUUCACUGUAACCUCACAUAGUAAAAGGCAAGGGAUCUCUUUUGUAAGGACAUUAAUCCCAUUCAUGAGGGCUUCCCCUUCAUGACCUAAACACCUCCAAAAGACCCCACCUCCAAAUACCUUUACUUUUGGGCUUAAGAUUUCAACAUAUGAAAUUUAGGAGCACACAAGUGUUCAAACCAUAGCAAUGUCAUGGGAUAAUUCAUGCAGUAGAUUGGAAGAGAGGCAUAGAACAAAAUAGAAAAAAAAUAUCUGCCUCCAUCACAAUUUGACCUGCUUUGGUGUACUGGAGAAGCCAUCAUCUUUUAAGAUAAGUCCAAAAGGAACUUCCACAUUGUGCAAAGAAAGCUCGUCUUGUACUAGGAGUAGAAAGAGGAACUACAAUUUACUUAGAAAACAGAAUACGUGGUACAAAACUAGGAUCACUACUUAUUGAAGGGCAGAUUGCACCAUGAAUGAUGUCCUCUAAAAUUGUGCCCAGUACAGCCUGUAAAGCUAUGGACCAUGGCAUUGUAAAGAUGGCUUAAGGUAAGUCAUCAGCAAAUCUAAAUAAACUUAGGGAAGCAUUCUCCAAAUUGUGUCCUGUGGAAUAAUUAUUGUUCAGGAGAGGCAGCACCUAGAGCUGACUUUUCUGGAGUUCUUCAGAGGAACUUUGGACUCUUCUAGAGUUAAAAACACUGAGAAAGGGGAGAUCUGAGCCAGUUCUUCUCCACAUGACAGCUCUCUAAGUCUGUGUGCAUCUAGUAAGCCUUCCGCAGAGCUGAGCAGCUCUCAAGCUCAUUGGUCUUAGCCAAAGAACAAUCUUGUUUCCAAGAUAUGUUUGCUGGCAAUUCAGAUUACACCUUCCACUUGAAGAAAGAAGCUGGGACAGAUGCCAAGCCCACUGCAAGCCACUCUGGUUCUUAUAAUGGCACUUACAGGGGCUGUAGAAAAUAUAAACUGGAUCAUUCACUCAAGACAGAAGAGCAGUCAUAACCAUAAAAUUCUCAUUCAGGUCAAUUCAAUCAAUAGAAACCAAAAGAUUAAUCUUUGCCGGUUCUGCCACCAACCAAUUUAAAGAAAACAUAAUCUGAUAGAUAGAUAGAUAGAUAAAGAAGGAGAGAGACAGAGGGAUUUGAUAUGUACACAUAUACAUACCUAAAUCAUAUGUAUACAACUCAACAACUUAUUACAGCACCCAGAUAAAAAUAAUAGACUAUGACUGCGUGCAUUGGCUCAUGCCUGUAAUCCUAGCACUUUGGGAGGCUGAGGUGGAGGGAUGGCUUGAGGCCAUGAGUUCCAGACCAGCCUGGACAACAUUGCAAGACCCCGUCUCUGUAAAAAGAAAUUAAGCCAGCCAUGGUGGCACACACCUGUCCCUGCUACUUGGGAGGCUAAGGCAGGAGGAUCACUGCAGCCCAGGAGUUCAAGGCUGCAGUGAGCUAUGAUCACACCCCUGCACCCCAGCUUGGACAACAGAGAGAGACCCUGCCACU
This 1821-nucleotide long non-coding RNA is filed under the name Homo sapiens (human). RNAcentral describes it as "HSALNT0231210". Lineage: Eukaryota; Metazoa; Chordata; Mammalia; Primates; Hominidae. The record is from RNAcentral.